This is a long non-coding RNA of Astyanax mexicanus (Mexican tetra), 173 nucleotides long. RefSeq lists it as uncharacterized. The record is from RefSeq and is a predicted model, not a curated record. The transcript has 2 exons. NCBI's taxonomy places the organism in Eukaryota, Metazoa, Chordata, Actinopteri, Characiformes, Acestrorhamphidae.
GAAUUCUGCGUGAUUUGAUCAGCCGUGGUUUUAUGUUUUUUGGAUACAAUCCGGGUUAGCACCCGAACAUCCCUUUCAGACAGCUUCCUCUUACAGCGUCCACAGUUAAUCCUGUUGGAUGUGAUUGGUCCUUCUUGGUGGUAUGCUGACAUUACCCUGGAUACCGUGGCUCU